CCCAAAGCGAGAGUUGUGUCCGGAUACUCGGCAGUAAGUCGGACUCGUUUCCCGUGAAUGUUGGCCUCCGCCAGGGCUGCGCUUUAUCACCAAUCCUGUUCGUGAUUUUCAUGGAUAGGAUAUCGAGGCGUAGUCGUGGAGGAGAGGGGUUGCAGUUCGGUGACCUGAGGAUCUCAUCGCUGCUCUUUGCAGAUGAUGUGGUCCUUAUGGCAUCAUCGGUCUGUGACCUUCAACAGUCACUGGAUCGGUUCGCAGCCGAGUGUGCAGCGGUCGGGAUGAGGAUCAGCACCUCCAAAUCUGAGGCCAUGGCUCUCAGCAGGAAACCGGUGGAUUGCCUACUCCGGGUAGGGAAUGAGCCUUUACCCCAAGUGAAGGAGUUCAAGUACCUCGGGGUCUUGUUCGCGAGUGAGGGGACAAUGGAGCGAGAGAUUGGCCAGAGAAUCGGAGCAGCGGGGGCGGUAUUACAGUCACUUUACCGCACCGUUGUGACGAAAAGAGAGCUGAGCCAGAAGGCAAAGCUCUCAAUCUACCGGUCGAUCUUCGUUCCUACCCUCACCUAUGGUCAUGAAGGCUGGGUCAUGACCGAAAGAACGAGAUCACGGGUACAAGCGGCCGAAAUGGGUUUUCUCAGACGGGUGGCUGGCGUCUCCCUUAGAGAUAGGGUGAGAAGCUCAGCCAUCCGUGAGAGACUCGGAGUAGAGCCGCUGCUCCUUUACGUUGAAAGGAGCCAGUUGAGGUGGUUCGGGCAUCUAGUAAGAAUGCCACCUGGGCGCCUCCCUAGGGAGGUGUUCCAGGCACGUCCAGCUGGGAGGAGACCCCGGGGAAGACCCAGGACUCGGUGGAGAGAUUAUAUCUCCUCACUGGCCUGGGAACGCCUCAGGAUCCCCCAGUCGGAGCUGGAGGAUGUGGCCCGGAGAAGGGAAGAUUGGGGUUCCUUACUGGAGCUGCUGCCCCCGCGACCCGAUCCCGGAUAAGCGGUAGACGAUGGAUGGAUGGAUGGAUGAAUAUAUGGCAAACACCACACAGAAGGGCCCAACCCGGCAAGCACCCAGAACCCUCUUGCUAUGAGCUGACAGUGCUAACCAAUGCCAUUUAUUUUAAACUUUGGACAAGGC
This is a long non-coding RNA of Cottoperca gobio, 1115 nucleotides long. The record is from Ensembl. NCBI's taxonomy places the organism in Eukaryota, Metazoa, Chordata, Actinopteri, Perciformes, Bovichtidae.